This 467-nucleotide ribosomal RNA is filed under the name uncultured bacterium. RNAcentral's name for it is "partial 16S ribosomal RNA". It matches the Rfam family "Bacterial small subunit ribosomal RNA", at positions 28 to 507 of the family's 1533-position model. The record is from RNAcentral.
GAUGAACGCUGACAGAAUGCUUAACACAUGCAAGUCCACUUGAAUUUGGGUUUUUAACUUAGGUUUGGGUGGCGGACGGGUGAGUAACGCGUAAAGAACUUGCCUCACAGCUAGGGACAACAUUUGGAAACGAAUGCUAAUACCUAAUAUUAUGAUAAUAGGGCAUCCUAUAAUUAUGAAAGCUAUAAGCGCUGUGAGAGAGCUUUGCGUCCCAUUAGCUAGUUGGAGAGGUAACGGCUCACCAAGGCGAUGAUGGGUAGCCGGCCUGAGAGGGUGAUCGGCCACAAGGGGACUGAGACACGGCCCUUACUCCUACGGGAGGCAGCAGUGGGGAAUAUUGGACAAUGGACCGAGAGUCUGAUCCAGCAAUUCUGUGUGCACGAUGAAGUUUUUCGGAAUGUAAAGUGCCUUCAGUUGGGAAGAAACAAAUGACGGUACCAACAGAAGAAGUGACGGCUAAAUACGUG